UUUUGUAAAUUAAUUUAAGGUCUUACCUGCCCACUGAUAAAUUAAAUGGCCGCAGUAUAUUGACUGUGCUAAGGUAGCAUAAUCAUUAGUUUCUUAAUUAGAAGCUGGAAUGAAGGGUUUGAUGAGAAAAUUACUGUCUCUUAAUAAUUAAAUUAAAAUUUUAUUUUUAAGUUAAAAAGCUUAAAUAAAUUUAAAAGACGAGAAGACCCUAUAGAGUUUAAUUAUAAUUAAAAUUUAUUUUUUUAGAAUUGAUUUUGUAGAUUUUAAUUAUAAUUUGAUUGGGGUGAUUAAAAAAUUUAAUAAACUUUUUUUUAUUAGUAAUAUAAAUUUAUAAAUAUUUGAUCCAUAAAAAUGAUUAAAAGAUUAAAUUACCUUAGGGAUAACAGCGUAAUUUUAUUGGAGAGUUCAAAUCGAUAAUAAAGGUUGCGACCUCGAUGUUGGAUUAAAA
Molecule: ribosomal RNA, 448 nt
Filed under: Syphrea sp. IBE-JGZ-00990
Lineage: Eukaryota; Metazoa; Arthropoda; Insecta; Coleoptera; Chrysomelidae
Description: partial 16S ribosomal RNA
Source: RNAcentral